RNAcentral lists this long non-coding RNA (1766 nucleotides) under Salmo salar (Atlantic salmon). RNAcentral describes it as "lncRNA (ENSSSAG00000085185.1)". Lineage: Eukaryota; Metazoa; Chordata; Actinopteri; Salmoniformes; Salmonidae. The record is from RNAcentral.
CUGUUAUAUGGUGUGUGUGUGUUAGAUAGGGCUGAUUUGCCUGGCUGAAGACACAAAGCAGGAUUAUAAAGCCACUAGGGUUAGAGUUAUGGGUAGAGCAGGGCCCACCAGACACAGUAUGGAGAGAGAGAUAGAGAGAGAGAGAGGGGGAGGUAGAGAGAGGGAGAGGUAGAGAGAGAGAGAGAGAGGUAGAGAGAGUUAGGGGUAGAGCAGGGCCCACCAGACACAGUAUAGAGAGAGAGAGAGGUAGAGAGAGAGAGGUAGAGAGAGAGGUAGGUAGAGAGAGAGGUAGAGAGAGAGAGAGGGAGGUAGAGAGAGGUAGAGAGAGGGAGGUAGAGAGGUAGAGAGAGAGGUAGAGAGAGAGGUAGAGAGGUAGAGAGGGAGGUAGAGAGGUAGAGAGGUAGAGAGAGAGGUAGAGAGGUAGAGAGGUAGAGAGAGAGGUAGGGGUAGAGCAGGGCCCACCAGACACAGUAUGGAGAGUGGGAGGUAGAGAGAGAGAGGUAGAGAGAGAGGUAGGUAGAGAGAGAGGUAGAGAGAGGUAGAGAGAGAGAGGUAGAGAGAGAGGUAGGUAGAGAGAGAGGUAGAGAGAGAGAGGUAGAGAGAGAGGUAGGUAGAGAGAGAGGUAGAGAGAGAGAGAGAUAGAGAGAGGUAGAGAGAGAGAGGUAGAGAGAGUUAGGGGUAAAGAGAGAGGUAGAGAGAGAGGGAGGUAGAGAGAGAGAGAGAGAGAGAGAGGUAGAGAGAGGUAGAGAGAGAGAGAGAGGUAGAGAGAGAGAGAGAGAGAGAGAGAGAGAGAGAGAGAGAGAGAGAGAGAGAGAGAGAGAGAGAGAGAGAGAGAGAGAGAGAUGAGGACGAGAGACAGAGGGAGAGAGAGAUGAGGAAGAGAGACAGACAGAGAGACAGACAGAGGGAGAGACAGACAGAGGGAGAGAGACAGACAGAGAGACAGACAGAAGGAGAGAUGAGGAAGAGAGACAGACAGAGAGACAGACAGGGAGAGACAGACAGAGGGAGAGAUGAGGAAGAGAGACAGACAGAGAGACAGACAGAGGGAGAGAUGAGGGAGAGAGACAGACAGAGAGACAGACAGAAGGAGAGAUGAGGAAGAGAGACAGACAGAGAGACAGACAGAGGGAGAGAUGAGGGAGAGAGACAGACAGAGAGACAGACAGAGGGAGAGAUGAGGUAGAGAGACAGACAGAGAGACAGACAGAGGGAGAGAUGAGGAAGAGAGACAGACAGAGAGACAGACAGGGAGAGACAGACAGGGAGACAGACAGAGAGACAGACAGGGAGAGACAUGAGGAAGAGAGACAGACAGAGAGACAGACAGAAGGAGAGAUGAGGAAGAGAGAUAGACAGAGAGACAGACAGAAGGAGAGAUGAGGAAGAGAGACAGACAGAGAGACAGACAGAAGGAGAGAUGAGGAAGAGAGACAGACAGAGAGACAGACAGGGAGAGAUGAGGAAGAGAGACAGACAGAGAGACAGACAGACAGAGAGAGAGAUGAGGAAGAGAGACAGACAGAGAGAGAGAUGAGGAAGAGAGACAGACAGAGAGACAGACAGGGAGAGAUGAGGAAGAGAGACAGACAGAGAGACAGACAGGGAGAGACAUGAGGAAGAGAGACAGACAGAGAGACAGACAGAAGGAGAGAUGAGGAAGAGAGACAGACAGAGAGACAGACAGAGGGAGAGAUGAGGAAGAGAGACAGACAGAGAGACAGACAGAAGGAGAGAUGAGGAAGAGAGACAGACAGAGAGAGAGA